UACAGAGGUGGCAAGCGUUGUUCGGAAUUACUGGGCGUAAAGGGCGCGUAGGCGGCCUUCUAAGUCGGACGUGAAAUCCCCAGGCUUAACUUGGGAACUGCGUCCGAUACUGGAAGGCUCGAGUGCGGGAGAGGGAUGUGGAAUUCCAGGUGUAGCGGUGAAAUGCGUAGAUAUCUGGAGGAACACCGGUGGCGAAGGCAGCCUUCUGGGCCAACGCUGACGCUCAUGCACGAAAGCGUGGGGAGCAAACAGG
RNAcentral lists this ribosomal RNA (253 nucleotides) under uncultured bacterium. Its description in RNAcentral is "partial 16S ribosomal RNA". It matches the Rfam family "Bacterial small subunit ribosomal RNA", at positions 524 to 776 of the family's 1533-position model. The record is from RNAcentral.